AAGCCGCUCCCCCGAACUUCUCCUGGGCAAACGUCAGAGUUCAAGGUAGAAGCGGAGUCCUACCAGCAACCCUGUCUGUUCUUCAGGUAGUGUCAUCACACCGGCUCAGGAGGGCAACUUGCCGCCCGAAUGGAGGGACAGAGUCAAGGUCAGGCCGAGGCAGGAAGGCCAGACUGUUACCAAAACUGUAUGUCGUCCAUGUGAAGUCCCGAGCGCCACUUCCUGAGACCUCAGCUCGAGUUCAGGAGGGACGAGCACGGGAGACACGGCUGCACUGGACGACCAUGACGUUAUCCGGGCAUCCAGGCCACGCCCUGUGUGGCGGGCCCUGCUCAUGUGCUGGGAUCUUGGGUAUACACGAACACGCGCCCAA
This is a long non-coding RNA of Tupaia belangeri chinensis (Chinese tree shrew), 373 nucleotides long. RefSeq lists it as uncharacterized. NCBI's taxonomy places the organism in Eukaryota, Metazoa, Chordata, Mammalia, Scandentia, Tupaiidae. The transcript has 3 exons. The record is from RefSeq and is a predicted model, not a curated record.